This 531-nucleotide ribosomal RNA is filed under the name uncultured Pseudomonadota bacterium. RNAcentral describes it as "bacterial SSU rRNA". It matches the Rfam family "Bacterial small subunit ribosomal RNA", at positions 375 to 896 of the family's 1533-position model. Lineage: Bacteria; Pseudomonadati; Pseudomonadota. The record is from RNAcentral.
ACGAAAGUCUGACGCAGCAACGCCGCGUGAGUGAAGAAGGCCUUCGGGUUGUAAAGCUCUGUCGCCCGGGACGAAAAUUCCGUUAGUGAAUAGCUAACGGAACUGACGGUACCGGGAGAGGAAGCACCGGCUAACUCCGUGCCAGCAGCCGCGGUAAUACGGAGGGUGCAAGCGUUGCUCGGAAUUAUUGGGCGUAAAGGGUAGGUAGGUGGUCUCAUUUGUCUGGGGUGAAAGCCUUGAGCUUAACUCAAGAAGUGCCCCAGAAACGGUGAGACUAGAGUCCUGGAGAGGGUCGUGGAAUUCCCGGUGUAGCGGUGAAAUGCGUAGAGAUCGGGAGGAACACCAGAGGCGAAGGCGGCGACCUGGACAGGAACUGACACUCAACUACGAAAGCGUGGGGAGCAAACAGGAUUAGAUACCCUGGUAGUCCACGCUGUAAACGAUGGGUACUAGGUGUCCGGGGCAUUGACCCCCUGGGUGCCGCAGCUAACGCAUUAAGUGCCCCGCCUGGGGAGUACGGUCGCAAGAUUA